This 253-nucleotide ribosomal RNA is filed under the name uncultured bacterium. RNAcentral describes it as "partial 16S ribosomal RNA". It matches the Rfam family "Bacterial small subunit ribosomal RNA", at positions 524 to 776 of the family's 1533-position model. The record is from RNAcentral.
UACGUAGGGGGCAAGCGUUGUCCGGAAUCAUUGGGCGUAAAGAGCGUGUAGGUGGCUCGGUAAGUCCGCUGUGAAAGUCCAGGGCUCAGCCCUGGAAUGCCGGUGGAAACUGUCGAGCUAGAGUCCGGAAGAGGCGAGUGGAAUUCCUGGUGUAGCGGUGAAAUGCGCAGAUAUCAGGAGGAACACCGGUGGCGAAGGCGGGUCUCUGGGCCGUAACUGACGCUGAGGAGCGAAAGCAUGGGGAGCGAACAGG